UAAGCAUAUCAAUAAGCGGAGGAAAAGAAACCAACAGGGAUUGCCUUAGUAACGGCGAGUGAAGCGGCAACAGCUCAAAUUUGAAAUCUGGUCCCCUUUGGGGGCCCGAGUUGUAAUUUGAAGAGGAUGCUUUUGGCGAGGCGCCGUCCGAGUUCCCUGGAACGGGACGCCGCAGAGGGUGAGAGCCCCGUACGGUCGGACGCCGAGCCUCUGUAAAGCUCCUUCGACGAGUCGAGUAGUUUGGGAAUGCUGCUCAAAAUGGGAGGUAAACCCCUUCUAAAGCUAAAUACUGGCCAGAGACCGAUAGCGCACAAGUAGAGUGAUCGAAAGAUGAAAAGCACUUUGAAAAGAGAGUUAAAAAGCACGUGAAAUUGUUAAAAGGGAAGCGCUUGCGACCAGACUUGCGCCCGUCGGAUCAACCGUCGCUUGCGGCGGCGCACUCCGGCGGGCUCAGGCCAGCAUCAGUUCGUCCGGGGGGAGAAAGGCGGCGGGAAUGUGGCUCUUCGGAGUGUUAUAGCCCGCCGUGUAAUACCCUCGGGUGGACUGAGGACCGCGCGUAUGCAAGGAUGCUGGCGUAAUGGUCGUCAGCGACCCGUCUUGAAACACGGACCAAGGAGUCGUCCUAAUAUGCGAGUGUACGGGUGUCAAACCCCUGCGCGUAAUGAAAGUGAACGGAGGUGAGAGCUUCGGCGCAUCAUCGACCGAUCCUGAUGUUCUCGGAUGGAUUUGAGUAAGAGCAUAUUGGGCCGGACCCGAAAGAAGGUGAACUAUGCCUGUGUAGGGUAAAGCCAGAGGAAACUCUGGUGGAGGCUCGCAGCGGUUCUGACGUGCAAAUCGAUCGUCAAACAUGGGCAUGGGGGCGAAAGACUAAUCGAACCUUCUAGUAGCUGGUUUCCGCCGAAG
Molecule: ribosomal RNA, 903 nt
Filed under: Scopulariopsis brevicaulis (arsenic fungus)
Lineage: Eukaryota; Fungi; Ascomycota; Sordariomycetes; Microascales; Microascaceae
Description: LSU rRNA
Rfam family: Eukaryotic large subunit ribosomal RNA
Source: RNAcentral